Molecule: ribosomal RNA, 253 nt
Filed under: uncultured bacterium
Lineage: Bacteria
Description: partial 16S ribosomal RNA
Rfam family: Bacterial small subunit ribosomal RNA
Source: RNAcentral
UACGUAGGGUGCGAGCGUUAAUCGGAAUUACUGGGCGUAAAGCGCGUGUAGGCGGUCUCGCAAGUCGGGUGUGAAAGCCCAGGGCUCAACCCUGGAAGUGCAUUCGAUACUGCGAGGCUAGAGUCCCGGAGAGGAUGGUGGAACUCUCGGUGUAGAGGUGAAAUUCGUAGAUAUCGAGAAGAACACCGGUGGCGAAGGCGGCCAUCUGGACGGUGACUGACGCUGAGACGCGAAAGCGUGGGGAGCAAACAGG